This 139-nucleotide ribosomal RNA is filed under the name uncultured eukaryote. Its description in RNAcentral is "partial 18S ribosomal RNA". It matches the Rfam family "Eukaryotic small subunit ribosomal RNA", at positions 1299 to 1458 of the family's 1831-position model. The record is from RNAcentral.
UGGUGGAGUGAUUUGUCUGGUUAAUUCCGUUAACGAACGAGACCUCAGCCUGCUAAAUAGUCACGCGAAUUCUGAAUUGGCGGCCGACUUCUUAGAGGGACUAUUGGUGUUUAACCAAUGGAAGUUUGAGGCAAUAACA